CUGCUGCCUCCCGUAGGAGUCUGGUCCGUGUCUCAGUACCAGUGUGGGGGACCUUCCUCUCAGAACCCCUACGCAUCGUCGCCUCGGUGGGCCGUUACCCCGCCGACUAGCUAAUGCGCCGCAUGGCCAUCCGCAGCCGAUGAAUCUUUAACCGCCGAGGGAUGCCCCUCUGCGGUGUUACGCGGUAUUAGACGGAAUUUCUUCCGCUUAUCCCCUGCUGCGGGCAGGUUCCAUACGUGUUACUCACCCGUGCGCCGGUCCGG
RNAcentral lists this ribosomal RNA (263 nucleotides) under uncultured bacterium. Its description in RNAcentral is "partial 16S ribosomal RNA". The record is from RNAcentral.